Molecule: long non-coding RNA, 836 nt
Organism: Leptidea sinapis
Lineage: Eukaryota; Metazoa; Arthropoda; Insecta; Lepidoptera; Pieridae
Exons: 4
Source: RefSeq, a predicted model, not a curated record
CGUGAAACAAGUUAUUACAUCGGUACGCGUCCUUAUUUUUAUUAACGGAAUCGCGUGACGGUAAUAAAGUUCUGCUACUGUUUUAUGUUGUGUAUCUUACGAAUUAAUCAAAAGUAUGAAUGCAUUUUGUAGGACAUAAUCAAGCUCUUCUGGGUAUAUAAUGUAUAAUCCUCGCCCAAUAAGAUGGUUGAGAGAGGCCACCACGUAUGUGACGUCAGGAGAUGCGGUGAAGUGUCGAGAACAUGUAACAGUAUCGCCAGCUUUGAACAAUAUGGCCGUGCUUAUGUCAAGAUGUACAAUUUUGUACUGGGGGAGGAGGUGGUGGUGGCAAGUGCUGCACUGCUACUGCUGAAGUUGAAGUUACAGCGGGAUGUAUUGGAGGCAUGACUGCAGUAGUAUGAACUGGAGCCAUAUGAGGACCAACAGUUGCCAUUACUGAAUGAGAUCCUGGGCCCAUAAACUUUGAUUGACUGGGGCCAUAUGUUGCUAUAUUAUUAGUUGCUGGCAGGGGAGGAGGAGGCGGUGGAGGUGGAGGGGCUAUAGCCAGAGACUCUCUGAUAUACAUUGCUAUCUGCGGGAUUGUUUCACCGCUUGUCAUUGACAUAUUUCUGUACCUUUCCACAAGAACCUCAGAUAAAUCAUCCGAAAUCCGUAGGAUCGGAGACUCAGAUGAGACUGGAGCCGCUGGGGAAGAUACACUGAAUAGUUCAAACGUCUUUUCAAAGACUCCAGAAUGUUACUAUAUUCAUUACAUUAUUAAGAAAAUUUAAUUCAUUUUUCAUUAUUAAACAUAAACUGUUGUAUGUAAGAAUUUGGUUACGAGAUAAUAUAGGCUA